UGCCAGCCGCCGCGGUAAUACGGAGGGUGCAAGCGUUAUCCGGAUUCAUUGGGUUUAAAGGGUCCGUAGGCGGUUAUAUAAGUCAGUGGUGAAAGCCUACAGCUCAACUGUAGAAUUGCCAUUGAUACUGUAUAACUUGAAUCUAUUUGAAGUGGGCGGAAUACAUCAUGUAGCGGUGAAAUGCAUAGAUAUGAUGUAGAACACCGAUUGCGAAGGCAGCUCACUAAGUUAGUAUUGACGCUGAGGGACGAAAGCGUGGGGAGCGAACAGGAUUAGAUA
Molecule: ribosomal RNA, 279 nt
Filed under: uncultured bacterium
Lineage: Bacteria
Description: partial 16S ribosomal RNA
Rfam family: Bacterial small subunit ribosomal RNA
Source: RNAcentral